RNAcentral lists this ribosomal RNA (270 nucleotides) under uncultured bacterium. RNAcentral describes it as "partial 16S ribosomal RNA". It matches the Rfam family "Bacterial small subunit ribosomal RNA", at positions 524 to 796 of the family's 1533-position model. The record is from RNAcentral.
UACGGAGGGUGCAAGCGUUAAUCGGAAUUACUGGGCGUAAAGCGCGCGUAGGUGGUUUGUAAGCGAGAUGUGAAAGCCCCGGGCUUAACCUGGGAACGGCAUUUCGAACUGUCAGGCUAGAGUAUGGUAGAGGGUAGUGGAAUUUCCUGUGUAGCGGUGAAAUGCGUAGAUAUAGGAAGGAACACCAGUGGCGAAGGCGGCUACCUGGACCAAUACUGACACUGAGGUGCGAAAGCGUGGGAGCAAACAGGAUUAGAUACCCCGUAGUCC